CAGCAGCCACGGUAAUACGGAGGGUGCAAGCGUUAAUCGGAAUUACUGGGCGUAAAGCGUGCGUAGGCGGUUCGUUAAGUCUGUUGUGAAAGCCCCGGGCUCAACCUGGGAAUGGCAAUGGAUACUGGCGAGCUAGAGUGUGUCAGAGGAUGGUGGAAUUCCCGGUGUAGCGGUGAAAUGCGUAGAGAUCGGGAGGAACAUCAGUGGCGAAGGCGGCCAUCUGGGACAACACUGACGCUGAGGCACGAAGGCGUGGGGAGCAAACAGGAUUAGAUACCCCAGUAGUCCCUGUCUCUUAUCA
This 301-nucleotide ribosomal RNA is filed under the name uncultured bacterium. RNAcentral describes it as "partial 16S ribosomal RNA". It matches the Rfam family "Bacterial small subunit ribosomal RNA", at positions 509 to 809 of the family's 1533-position model. The record is from RNAcentral.